UUACGGUCAAAUCACGCUGAAACACCGGUUCUCGUACGAUCACCGAAGUUAAGCAGCGUAGAGCCAGGUCAGUACUUAGAUGGGGGACUGCUUGGUAACACCUGGUACUGUAAG
Molecule: ribosomal RNA, 114 nt
Filed under: Acanthosepion pharaonis
Lineage: Eukaryota; Metazoa; Mollusca; Cephalopoda; Sepiida; Sepiidae
Source: RNAcentral